UUACAAAUAAAUAUAGUUUUAUUGUCUCCGUCAAAAAAAUUCUCAGAAAAAUUAAUGACUUAAACAAAUAUAAUGAAAGCAUACCAAGAAUACAUUUAAAAUAAUUAAACUUGAAAAUUAGAGAGACGGAGAAAACAAGUUUAGUAAUCCUUGGUAAGGCAUGAAAUUAUUUUUAAACUUUCAAAUGGAAAAAGUAUUAAAAGGAACCAUCGCAAACCAAUAGAUAGAAGGCUCAGAUUCAUCAUUUGUCAAUCACAAGAAGAAGAUACCAUACAUCUUCCAACCUCUUGCUCAAAUCCCAUCGUAAGAGGUAGACAUAGCUGCAGUGGUUGCCAUGCUGACCAUCCAAAUUGCCCCGCCAUCAUCCUCUCAGGAUUGGAAAACAGAGCAUUGAAGAGAGAAGGCAGAGUAUUUGGGCUUCAUACUUAUGUAUAAGUAUCCGUGACUUGCCAUCACCAUGGAGAUAUAAUCUAAAUCAUGGUUCGCAAUACCGUACCGGACCGGUAUUUCGAACUGGGCUCGGUACCGGUACGGUACGGUAUACCGAGAGGUACACCUAGGUGUGCCGAGUACUGCUACAGUGCACUCGGACCGGUAAGAGGCGGUCCGCGUACCGACAACCUGUCGGACCGGUACGUACCGCCCGUACCGGGCGGUACAGCUCGGUACGGCAGACCCUGAUCUGAAUCAAUAUCCAACGUAGUGAUUGCUCAAAUCCAUCUUUGAUACUUAUUUAUCAUCAUGGCCUCUUUAUAAUCCAAAAGCAAGACUUUGAAGAGUGAAGAUGAAAUUAAUGCAGCAAAAUGAAAAAUUAAAACAAAAAACAUCAAAACUUUUAAAGGCGGAAAACGAAAGGGAGGAAAUAAAGAAGUAAUGCUCUUGAACAUACUAUUUCCCUCUUGAAAGUAUUAGUUCUUUCCCCACCCCAAAAUUGACGUCAAAUCCCCAAAAUGUUUCAAACUAGAGAUAAUCAGUUAGCUAAGGUUAAAUAUCAGACUCUAAUAGCUUAGCAUUAUGCUUGUGAUGCGAAAAAAGUUGAAAGCAACUUUCCAUGACAGCUAUCCACAAUUUCAACAAAAUUAACAAUCGAAAAUAAGACUUGAAAAAACCAGAGAACAAUAUAUUGUCUAGAGCUUGCAUCAUCAAAUAUCAUACAAUCCCCCUGUUGAACUAUAAAAAGAAAGUGGUCAAACUAUCAGCAACACAAUUCCAAGCUCUGCAAGUUCUAUAAAGCAUAAUUGAUAAUGGGCAUAUCAUCCCAACCAUCGACAACAUACAUAUAUGAAUGAUAGCAAAAUAGCAAACCAUAAGAAACAAAUUAUUUGAGAAAUCAACUGGCCCAACAACUAGAUAAAGUAUGUCUCGUUGCAUCUAGCAAUAAUGAUAUACCCAAACCUGAAAAUGCUUCAUAUUAAUAAAUCCAUGACAAAAGUCAGCAGAUAACUUUAUCCCAUGCAAAAGUCAUUCAAAUAAGAAAUCACAAAUCCAUCUAGAUUUUGCUACCUCUCAAGUUCCCACCAAAGAAUUGUAGUCAUCCAGAAUUUAAUCACAGAUUUCAAAUAAAUACAAAAUGGAGCCUUUAGACUUUUUUUUACCGGACCAACUAUCUCAUUGCAAUAUUUUUUUCCUCAAAAUGAUUUUUAACAGCAUGAUAUUAAUCCUUUAAAGUACAUAAAAUGUUAAAAUAAAGAAAUCUUGAAGAUAACAUGUAAACAUUACAUCAGAAGCUUCAAGUGUUCCAAAUCUCAAAAUAAAUAAAGCUUGAUAAAAAUAUGAAAACUUUCCAAACAGGCAAACAUUUAAAAAUGUGAAAUAAAUACUUAAAAUGUAAUCAAAUUAACAUAACAUUUAUGUUACAAAUAAAUAUAGUUUUAUUGUCUCCAUCAAAAAAAUUCUCAGAAAAAUUAAUGACUUAAACAAAUAUAAUGAAAGCAUACCAAGAAUACAUUUAAAAUAAUUAAUCUUGAAAAUUAGAGAGACCAAGAGAAAACAAGUUUAGUAAUUCUUGGUUAGGCAUGAAAUUAUUUUUAAACAAUCAAAAGGAAAAAGUAUUAAAAAGAACCAUCGCAAACCAAUAGAUAGAAGGCUCAGAUUCAUCAUUUGUCAAUCACAAGAAGAAGAGACCGUACAUCUUCCAACCUCUUACUCAAAUCCCAUCGUAAGAGGAAGACAUAGCUGCAUUGGUUGCCAUGCUGGCCAUCCAAACUGCCCCGCCAUCAUCCUCUCAGGAUUGCAAAACAGAGCAUUGAAGAGAGAAGGCAGAGUAUUUGGGCUUCAUACUUAUGCAUAAGUAUCUACGACUUGCCAUCACCAUGAAGAUAUAAUCUGAAUUAAUAUCCAACUUGGUGAUUGCUCAUAUCCAUCUUUGACACUAAUUUAUCAUCAUAGACUCUUUAUAAGCCAAAAGCAAGUCUUUGAAAAGUAAAGAUGAAAUUAAUACAGCAAAAUUGAAAAUAAAAACAAAAAAUCAUCAAAACUUUUAAAGGCGGAAAACGAAAGGGAGGAAGAAAACAAGUAAUGCUCUUGAACAUACUAUUUCCCUCUUGAAAGUAUUAUUUCUUUCCCCACCCCAAAAUAGACUUCAAAUCCCCAAAAUGCUUCAAACCGGAGAUAAUCAGUUAGCAAAGGAUAAAUAUAAGACUCUAAUAGCUUAGCAUUAUGCUUGUGAUGCGAAAAAAGUUGAAAGCAACUUUCCAUGGCAGCUAUCCACAAUUUCAACAAAAUUAACAAUCGAAAAUAAGACUUGAAAAAACCAGAGAACAAUAUAUUGUCUAGAGCUUGCAUCACCUAAUAUCAUACAAUCACCUAAUGAACUAGAAAAAGAAGUGGUCAAACUAUCAGCAACACAAUUCCAAGCACUGCAAGUUGUAUAAAGCAUCAUUGAUAAUGGGCAUAUCAUCCCAACCAUCGACAACAUACGAAUAUGAAUGAUAGCAAAAUAGCAAACCACAAGAAACAAAUUAUUUGAGAAAACAACUAGUCCAACAACUAGAUAAAGUAUGUCUCGUUGCAUUUAGCAAUAAUGAUAUACCCAGACCUGAAAAUGCUUCAUAUUAAUAAAUCCAUGACAAAAGUGAGCAGAUAACUUUAUCCCAUGGAAAAGUUAUACAAAUAAGAAAUCACAAAUCCUACCAGAUUAUGCAUCCUCUCAAGUUCCCACCAAAGAAUUGUAGUCACCCAGAAUUUAAUCACAGAUUUCAAAUAAAUACAAAAUGAA
Molecule: long non-coding RNA, 3217 nt
Filed under: Musa acuminata (dwarf banana)
Lineage: Eukaryota; Viridiplantae; Streptophyta; Magnoliopsida; Zingiberales; Musaceae
Description: long non-coding RNA (MACU_LNC010894)
Source: RNAcentral